RNAcentral lists this ribosomal RNA (328 nucleotides) under uncultured Bacteroidota bacterium. RNAcentral describes it as "bacterial SSU rRNA". It matches the Rfam family "Bacterial small subunit ribosomal RNA", at positions 28 to 351 of the family's 1533-position model. The record is from RNAcentral. Lineage: Bacteria; Pseudomonadati; Bacteroidota.
GAUGAACGCUAGCGGGAGGCUUAACACAUGCAAGUCGUGGGGCAGCAUAAUGUAGCAAUACGUUGAUGGCGACCGGCGCACGGGUGAGUAACGCGUAUGCAACCUACCCUGUACAGGGGGAUAGCCCGGAGAAAUUCGGAUUAAUACCCCAUAAAGAUAUGAGAAGGCAUCUUUUUAUAUUUAAAGUUUCGGCGGUACGGGAUGGGCAUGCGUAACAUUAGCUAGUUGGUAGGGUAACGGCCUACCAAGGCAACGAUGUUUAGGGGUCCUGAGAGGGUGAUCCCCCACACUGGUACUGAGACACGGACCAGACUCCUACGGGAGGCAG